This 222-nucleotide long non-coding RNA is filed under the name Nicotiana benthamiana. RNAcentral's name for it is "long non-coding RNA (NBEN_LNC007199)". Lineage: Eukaryota; Viridiplantae; Streptophyta; Magnoliopsida; Solanales; Solanaceae. The record is from RNAcentral.
CUUAACAAACCUUUACAACUUGAGGACACAAGCCUCAACACCUUUGCUCGGAGAUACAACACUCCAAGACUUCAACCAAAGGAAACACAAGUUCCUUCAUAACUUGAGGACACAAGCCACAACUACCUUUGCUCGGAGAUACAGCACUCCAAGACUUCAACCAAGAAACACAAGUUCCUUCUUACAACAAGAGAAUAACAAUUCUCUUCAAGUGUACAAAAC